GUCACGAUACAUUCAGCAAAACCUGAACUCGCUAAUAGGUGUAGGUGUUACAACAGGAGAGCUAAUUUGUAUCUUGGACUUAACUGACAAAUCAAGAAUCCAAUGACAACUAUCCUAUAGGAAUCAGGGGGGAAAGAGAUGUGAAGAGGGAUUGUACAAGAAUCAAAGAAUUUUGCAUCUCUUUUAUAAUUUAAAUGGAUUGGUGAGAGAGUUAUUUUCUCUAUAGUUUCUUCCAAAUUGGUUUCGAUAUUACAACUAAAACUAAGCAUUCCAGAAAAUGAUGGGAAUCAAAGUGUCUUCUUAAUCAUCCUGGUCUAACAAACAGUAAUGUAAUUCACCUUAGAAUCUCAAUAGUACUUACGUGGCACAGUGUUUGGAGACAGCUGAAAUGUGCUCUCCCCGUAUGCGGACAAUAUAAAACAAGUCUGCAAGCAAAAAAGUUUUAAGUUGUAGACCUGCAGAUGAAAUACAGCGUGUUUAAGUGCAUUUACAGUUUUGCCUACAUGUUUAGUAUAGAAUCAACAGCUGGGGAGGAAAGUGUUUACCAUAUUCUGUACCUUUAUGCAGUGACAAUCCUCUAAAGCUGGCACAGCAAUUACUUUGUGGCCGACCUCCAGCCCCCCCGGCACAAUACAAAUGCACAUCAAAUUCAGAGAGAGAACUUAAAACUGCAUAGAUAACCAUGAGCUUCAUAAACAAGACAUCUAAUCGUUUCUGUCCUCAAUCUUCUGCAACAUCCACGAGUUCAUUUAAAUGAACUAAUUUAGCAGUUUGAUAGUCCUGUAUAUUCAAAGUGAGAAUUAAAGAAUGUAAACUCCUUAAAUUUUUUCAGAAACAGAACAGUUUCAAAUUUUAAGAACCAUCAAGCUAGGAAAUUUGACAUCUUCUAACAUACUACUUUUUGUAUCUAUACACUUAAUCUGAUACUGGGAAGACAUGUAUUGAACAUUUUAAAAACUUAGUAUUACCUUGUCUUUCUACUCCAGCAUGUUUUGUUGCGGGAGAGCAUUUCCAUUUUAUGCAAACAAAGGUGAAGCAGUGAGUUGCACAUUCACCUUAUCGGUUUUUUAUGGGACAUUCGGCUACAUU
This 1089-nucleotide long non-coding RNA is filed under the name Nicotiana tabacum (common tobacco). Its description in RNAcentral is "long non-coding RNA (NTAB_LNC004980)". Lineage: Eukaryota; Viridiplantae; Streptophyta; Magnoliopsida; Solanales; Solanaceae. The record is from RNAcentral.